This 381-nucleotide ribosomal RNA is filed under the name uncultured bacterium. RNAcentral's name for it is "bacterial SSU rRNA". It matches the Rfam family "Bacterial small subunit ribosomal RNA", at positions 28 to 407 of the family's 1533-position model. The record is from RNAcentral.
GACGAACGCUGGCGGCGUGCCUAACACAUGCAAGUCGAACGGGGUUAAGAGCUUCGGCUUUUAACUUAGUGGCGAACGGGUGAGUAACGCGUGAGAAACCUGCCUUUCAGUGGGGGACAACAGUUGGAAACGACUGCUAAUACCGCAUAAUGUCAUUUAGGGGCAUCCCUGAAUGACCAAAGCUUAAUGUGCUGAAAGAUGGUCUCGCGUCUGAUUAGCUAGAUGGCGGGGUAACGGCCUACCAUGGCGACGAUCAGUAGCCGGUCUGAGAGGAUGAACGGCCACAUUGGGACUGAGAUACGGCCCAGACUCCUACGGGAGGCAGCAGUGGGGAAUAUUGGGCAAUGGGGGAAACCCUGACCCAGCAACGCCGCGUGAAGG